CGAGGGCACGCCUGCCUGGGUGUCAC
RNAcentral lists this ribosomal RNA (26 nucleotides) under Acer buergerianum subsp. buergerianum. Its description in RNAcentral is "partial 5.8S ribosomal RNA". The record is from RNAcentral. Lineage: Eukaryota; Viridiplantae; Streptophyta; Magnoliopsida; Sapindales; Sapindaceae.